UACAGAGGGUGCGAGCGUUAAUCGGAAUUACUGGGUGUAAAGCGCGCGUAGACGGUUUGGUAAGUCAGAUGUGAAAUCCCCGGGCUCAACCUGGGAACUGCAUUUGAUACUGCCUGGCUAGAGUAUCGAAGAGGGAAGUGGAAUUUCCGGUGUAGCGGUGAAAUGCGUAGAUAUCGGAAGGAACACCAGUGGCGAAAGCGACUUCCUGGUCGAAUACUGACGUUCAUGUGCGAAAGCGUGGGGAGCAAACAGG
Molecule: ribosomal RNA, 253 nt
Filed under: uncultured bacterium
Lineage: Bacteria
Description: partial 16S ribosomal RNA
Rfam family: Bacterial small subunit ribosomal RNA
Source: RNAcentral